This 417-nucleotide ribosomal RNA is filed under the name uncultured bacterium. RNAcentral describes it as "bacterial SSU rRNA". It matches the Rfam family "Bacterial small subunit ribosomal RNA", at positions 64 to 507 of the family's 1533-position model. The record is from RNAcentral.
GCACGAUGAAAGGGCUNUUCGGGUCCUCGAGUAAACGUGGCGCACGGUGUGAGUAACACGUGACUAACCUACCCUCGAGUGGGGAAUAACCUAGGGAAACCUGGGCUAAUACCGCAUAACACUUACGAGUCAAAGCAGCAAUGCGCUUGGGGAGGGGGUCGCGGCAGAUUAGCUAGUUGGUGGGGUAAUGGCCUACCAAGGCGAUGAUCUGUAUCCGGCCUGAGAGGGCGCACGGACACACUGGAACUGAAACACGGUCCAGACUCCUACGGGAGGCAGCAGUGGGGAAUUUUGCGCAAUGGGGGAAACCCUGACGCAGCAACGCCGCGUGGAGGAUGAAGUCUCUUGGGACGUAAACUCCUUUCGAUCGGGACGAUAAUGACGGUUACGAUAUAACAAGCCCCGGCUAACUUCGUG